Molecule: long non-coding RNA, 1796 nt
Filed under: Triticum aestivum (bread wheat)
Lineage: Eukaryota; Viridiplantae; Streptophyta; Magnoliopsida; Poales; Poaceae
Description: long non-coding RNA (TAES_LNC025765)
Source: RNAcentral
UUAGGAAUAAGCCACGCAUGAGUAUGUGCUCGUGGUAUGCGUGGCGUGGUGGUCAGCACGUGAGCUAGCUAGAUGGACAUGCAUGCAUGUAUUAGUUGCGGUGUUUAGCAGGUUGUUAGCUGCGGCCGGUGGAGAUGGCCGCGUCAAGCGCGUGGCGCGUGUAGCGUGCAUGGCCGGGCUGAUUGUUUGCAUGCAGCGGAUAGCUAGCUGGAGAAACGUGGGCGUUGCGUUUGCUGUAGGGCUACAAAGCUGCCGUCGUGGGUAUGUGUUUGUACUGAGUUGAGCACCAUGUAGACAUUGCAAAGAGGAAAAAGAUUCGGGCGUUCGUGCGCCCGUGGCGGCGUUCGUGCGCCGACCGGAAAAUCUCGUGUCUUGUGUCUUCUUCUUCCUCUAGCCGAGAGUGAGAGAGGGCUGCGGUUCCAACAAUUGGUAUCAUGAGCUUGGUGUCUUGGGUGCGCUUGCCGUGCCGGAGGCGUGGUCGCGAUGGCGGCGCUCGCCGGCGGCUGCGCGUUGGAGCUCCGGGCCGUGUGUCGGCCCAUGGAGGUGGGCGGCGUUGUGGCUGUCAUGGCGCGUGGCGGAUGCGGCGGGCGGUGACGUCGUACGUGCGGCGACCGCGGAGGCCGCCGAGGCGCUGCGUGGUGGCGCGGCGGCACAACACGGUGUGGCGGCGUGGAGGCACUGCAUGGCGGCAUGGAGGCCGCGGCGGUGCAGGGCAAUAAGACGCGGCGACGAGCCGGGCGCAACCGGUGCGUGUUAUGGGUGCGCACUGGACGCGUCGGGACCGCGGGAGUGGACCCCGUCGAGGCGCUGGACCUGGUUGCGCAGAUCGCGUACGUGCGCGGCGGGAGCGCGGGCCGGGAGCGCGGGGACGUGGGGAGUGCGCGCGAAGGGCGCGACGGUCGCGGAGACGAGGAGGUCGCGAAGGACCUGCGUGAUGGCGUAGAGGUCGCGACGGCUCGGGGCGACAACCGUGGAAGGUGCGUGACACGUAGGCGCGGCGUGGCGGCUGCCAUGGCGGACGCGGAGGCGGCACGCGGUGAGCGUCUGGUGCUGUCGGGCUCGUCGGGCGCGUCGGAUGCGCGCGGGACGUGCGGGACGCACUGGUGUGGCCAGGCUCGUCGGGCGCGUCGGGUGCGCGCGGGACGUGCGGGACGCGGAAGGACGCCAAGCGUGUGUCGCCGGCGGAGAUGGAGCUCGGCGUAUGUCGCCGGGGUCGUGACGGAGCACGGUGUAAACGGCGUCGGUGCGCCAGGUCGGGUCCUUGGCGGUGCGACCGGCGUCGAUGCGCCGGGUCGGGUCCGCGGGCUGGAUCACGGCCGUGACGAUGGCAAUGACAGGAGCUACAACAACUCCGGCGACGGCGAGGUCGUGGCUUAGGGGGAGAAUGUUAGGAAUAAGCCACGCAUGAGUAUGUGCUCGUGGUAUGCGUGGCGUGGUGGUCAGCACGUGAGCUAGCUAGAUGGACAUGCAUGCAUGUAUUAGUUGCGGUGUUUAGCAGGUUGUUAGCUGCGGCCGAUGGAGAUGGCCGCGUCAAGCGCGUGGCGCGUGUAGCGUGCAUGGCCGGGCUGAUUGUUUGCAUGCAGCGGAUAGCUAGCUGGAGAAACGUGGGCGUUGCGUUUGCUGUAGGGCUACAAAGCUGCCGUCGUGGGUAUGUGUUUGUACUGAGUUGAGCACCAUGUAGACAUUGCAAAGAGGAAAAAGAUUCGGGCGUUCGUGCGCCCGUGGCGGCGUUCGUGCGCCGACCGGAAAAUCCCGUGUCUUGUGUCUUCUUCUUCCUCUAGCCGAGAGUGAGAGAG